AUUGAACGCUGGCGGAAUGCUUUACACAUGCAAGUCGAACGGCAGCACGGACUUCGGUCUGGUGGCGAGUGGCGAACGGGUGAGUAAUGUAUCGGAACGUGCCCAGUCGUGGGGGAUAACGUAGUGAAAUUUACGCUAAUACCGCAUACGAUCUAUGGAUGAAAGCGGGGGAUCGCAAGACCUCGCGCGAUUGGAGCGGCCGAUACCAGAUUAGGUAGUUGGUGGGGUAAAGGCCCACCAAGCCAACGAUCUGUAGCUGGUCUGAGAGGACGACCAGCCACACGGGAACUGAGACACGGUCCAGACUCCGACGGGAGGCAGCAGUGGGGAAUUUUGGACAAUGGGCGAAAGCCUGAUCCAGCCAUUCCGCGGGCAGGAUGAAGGCCCUCGGGUUGUAAACUGCUUUUGUACAGAACGAAAAGGUUUCUACUAAUACUAGGAGCUCAUGACGGUACUGUAAGAAUAAGCACCGGCUAACUACGUGCCAGCCGCCGCGGUAA
RNAcentral lists this ribosomal RNA (500 nucleotides) under uncultured bacterium. RNAcentral's name for it is "partial 16S ribosomal RNA". It matches the Rfam family "Bacterial small subunit ribosomal RNA", at positions 30 to 523 of the family's 1533-position model. The record is from RNAcentral.